CAGCCGCCGCGGUAAUACAGAGGGUGCAAGCGUUAAUCGGAAUUACUGGGCGUAAAGCGCGCGUAGGUGGUUUGUUAAGUUGGAUGUGAAAGCCCCGGGCUCAACCUGGGAACUGCAUCCAAAACUGGCAAGCUAGAGUACGGUAGAGGGUGGUGGAAUUUCCUGUGUAGCGGUGAAAUGCGUAGAUGUAGGAAGGAACACCAGUGGCGAAGGCGACCACCUGGACUGAUACUGACACUGAGGUGCGAAAGCGUGGGGAGCAAACAGGAUUAGAUACCCCUGUAGUCCCUGUCUCUUAUAU
RNAcentral lists this ribosomal RNA (301 nucleotides) under uncultured bacterium. RNAcentral describes it as "partial 16S ribosomal RNA". It matches the Rfam family "Bacterial small subunit ribosomal RNA", at positions 509 to 809 of the family's 1533-position model. The record is from RNAcentral.